This is a long non-coding RNA of Oreochromis aureus, 549 nucleotides long. The record is from Ensembl. Lineage: Eukaryota; Metazoa; Chordata; Actinopteri; Cichliformes; Cichlidae.
CUAACAGUGAUUUCAUUCGUUCAUUUUCCCAGCAUUCCAGAGAACUACAGGCUUGGAAUGCAUGUGUUUGGGCUCCUUGCAUGCUGUGAUAACUUAAAAGACAUGGAUGAUGUUGUCCAUAGUGCAGCAAUAGUGUUUUGCAGUCCUUGUAGUGGAAGGAACGUAACAAAACACUACAACAACUUGAAAAUCCUUAUGCAAAAAAGGGGGACCCUGGAUUUGGAUGAAAAGACUGUGAUUGCUGAGGACUACAAGACUGAUGUUCAGAAUGCCCCUUGAAGACCCAUUUCCAGGCAAUUGUUGACAAUGCAACACUGGACUGUGAGGGUGAAAGAAACAUCUUUCAUGCACCCAAAUUUAUUGCCGGUCUGGUAAAUCACCUUCUACCACAUGCAACUUUGUGGUCAUCAAUGAUGCUCGGGGAUCUUGGACAUCAUGGUACUGGUCCUGCUUACCAGCAGCUCAGUAAACUCUAUAGUGACAUUCAGCAAUCCAAGAACCAGAAUUUUACACAAGACAACAGAACCCAAGGAAUCAUGGAGAAAAGCC